Molecule: unclassified non-coding RNA, 339 nt
Filed under: soil metagenome
Description: partial contains 5.8S ribosomal RNA, internal transcribed spacer 2, and large subunit ribosomal RNA
Rfam family: 5.8S ribosomal RNA (bases 1-120)
Source: RNAcentral
GAUGAAGAACGCAGCGAAAUGCGAUAAGUAAUGCGAAUUGCAGAAUUCAGUGAGUCAUCGAAUCUUUGAACGCACAUUGCGCCCUUUGGCAUUCCGAAGGGCAUGCCUGUUCGAGCGUCAUUACAGCUCUCAAGCACUGCUUGGUGUUGGGCGUCUGUCCCCGCGUUGCGCGGCGGACUCGUCUGAAAAGCAUCGGCGUCCGGCGGUGGGUCUUGCGCGUAGCAGAUUGUUCGCACAAGGGCCCGCUCGCGGGAUUGCCGCACACGUCAAUUAUAUCAGUUUGACCUCGGAUCAGGUAGGGAUACCCGCUGAACUUAAGCAUAUCAAUAAGCGGGAGGA